Molecule: ribosomal RNA, 636 nt
Filed under: Rhodococcus sp. So1Pt_99
Lineage: Bacteria; Bacillati; Actinomycetota; Actinomycetes; Mycobacteriales; Nocardiaceae
Description: bacterial SSU rRNA
Rfam family: Bacterial small subunit ribosomal RNA
Source: RNAcentral
AAGCCUGAUGCAGCGACGCCGCGUGAGGGAUGACGGCCUUCGGGUUGUAAACCUCUUUCAGCAGGGACGAAGCGAAAGUGACGGUACCUGCAGAAGAAGCACCGGCCAACUACGUGCCAGCAGCCGCGGUAAUACGUAGGGUGCGAGCGUUGUCCGGAAUUACUGGGCGUAAAGAGCUCGUAGGCGGUUUGUCGCGUCGUCUGUGAAAACCCGCAGCUCAACUGCGGGCUUGCAGGCGAUACGGGCAGACUUGAGUACUGCAGGGGAGACUGGAAUUCCUGGUGUAGCGGUGAAAUGCGCAGAUAUCAGGAGGAACACCGGUGGCGAAGGCGGGUCUCUGGGCAGUAACUGACGCUGAGGAGCGAAAGCGUGGGUAGCGAACAGGAUUAGAUACCCUGGUAGUCCACGCCGUAAACGGUGGGCGCUAGGUGUGGGUUUCCUUCCACGGGAUCCGUGCCGUAGCUAACGCAUUAAGCGCCCCGCCUGGGGAGUACGGCCGCAAGGCUAAAACUCAAAGGAAUUGACGGGGGCCCGCACAAGCGGCGGAGCAUGUGGAUUAAUUCGAUGCAACGCGAAGAACCUUACCUGGGUUUGACAUAUACCGGAAAGCCGUAGAGAUACGGCCCCCCUUGUGGU